UACGAAGGGUGCAAACGUUGCUCGGAAUCAUUGAACGUAAAGCGCACGUAGGCGGCCUUGCAAGUCGGAUGUGAAAUCCCACGGCUCAACCGUGGACGUGCAUCCGAAACUGCUCGGCUCGAGUAUGGAAGAGGGUCGCGGAAUUCCCGGUGUAGAGGUGAAAUUCGUAGAUAUCGGGAGGAACACCAGUGGCGAAGGCGGCGACCUGGGCCAAUACUGACGCUGAGGUGCGAAAGCGUGGGGAGCAAACAGG
RNAcentral lists this ribosomal RNA (253 nucleotides) under uncultured bacterium. Its description in RNAcentral is "partial 16S ribosomal RNA". It matches the Rfam family "Bacterial small subunit ribosomal RNA", at positions 524 to 776 of the family's 1533-position model. The record is from RNAcentral.